GACGAACGCUGGCGGCGUGCCUAAUACAUGCAAGUAGAACGCUGAAGGAGGAGCUUGCUUCUCUGGAUGAGUUGCGAGCGGGUGAGUAACGCGUAGGUAACCUGCCUGGUAGCGGGGGAUAACUAUUGGAAACGAUAGCUAAUACCGCAUAAAAUUGAUUAUUGCAUGAUAGUCAAUUAAAAGGUGCAAUUGCAUCACUACCAGAUGGACCUGCGUUGUAUUAGCUAGUUGGUGAGGUAACGGCUCACCAAGGCAACGAUACAUAGCCGACCUGAGAGGGUGAUCGGCCACACUGGGACUGAGACACGGCCCAGACUCCUACGGGAGGCAGCAGUAGGGAAUCUUCGGCAAUGGACGGAAGUCUGACCGAGCAACGCCGCGUGAGUGAAGAAGGUUUUCGGAUCGUAAAGCUCUGUUGUAAGAGAAGAACGAGUGUGAGAGUGGAAAGUUCACAC
RNAcentral lists this ribosomal RNA (455 nucleotides) under Streptococcus sp. oral taxon 058. Its description in RNAcentral is "bacterial SSU rRNA". It matches the Rfam family "Bacterial small subunit ribosomal RNA", at positions 28 to 469 of the family's 1533-position model. Lineage: Bacteria; Bacillati; Bacillota; Bacilli; Lactobacillales; Streptococcaceae. The record is from RNAcentral.